GGAGUGGCCCGGGGCCGGUGCCCCGAACGGCCUUCAAAGCCGUUGGCGGCGCCUAAACGGCGCUGGGAAGGUUCGACUCCUUCGCCGCUCCG
RNAcentral lists this transfer RNA (92 nucleotides) under Solirubrobacterales bacterium. RNAcentral describes it as "tRNA-Sec". It matches the Rfam family "Selenocysteine transfer RNA". Lineage: Bacteria; Bacillati; Actinomycetota; Thermoleophilia; Solirubrobacterales. The record is from RNAcentral.